GACCUCCGGUGACCUAGUGGUUAGAGCAUCCGCCUCGGAUGCGGGAGGUCGCAGGAUCAAACCCCAGCCGAGUCA
Molecule: non-coding RNA, 75 nt
Organism: Potamilus streckersoni
Lineage: Eukaryota; Metazoa; Mollusca; Bivalvia; Unionida; Unionidae
Source: the annotation of a GenBank genome assembly